Long non-coding RNA from Symsagittifera roscoffensis, 927 nucleotides. RefSeq lists it as uncharacterized. Lineage: Eukaryota; Metazoa; Xenacoelomorpha; Acoela; Convolutidae. The transcript is spliced from 3 exons. The record is from RefSeq and is a predicted model, not a curated record.
AUCAUGAACAACUCAGAUUGUUUACAAUUUUUGACAUUAGCCAGCCUUGUCUUUACAACAUGUAUGUCAGAGCAACUUUUCAAAUCAAAAACACAUUCAAAUCUGAAUACCUCUUUGAUAUCUGCUGUAAUCGGCGGCCAGCGGAGCCAAUUUCGCCCAUUUUUUGUGCAAGUGUCCAGAUUCCACAGGGUGGAAAAUGGCUGGUCGUACUGUGGGGGAACCAUUAUUCAUGAGCACUGGGUCCUAACGGCUGCUCAUUGCAUUUAUGACAGGCAUCCGGAUGACAUGGUCGUUUUGAAGGGGGACUUUUCAAAUGAAUCUGCAGAGAAAGUUGGAGUGAAAGUGGAAAAAUUACAUUGGCCUACUACUUUCCGACGAAAACUGACAGGUUCAAAGAGUGAUGUCGGUCUCAUUAAAGUUUAUCACAACUUCUCUGAAGACUCAAUUCUUCCACUUUGCGGAAACUAUGUCUCUCAUUGUUCCAUAAUGGGCGCUUGUGGCACGGGUAUGGCUGACAGGCGCAGAGAGGAGAUGUCGGGGGGCUUGAAGGAAAUUCUGCUAUUCGAAAGACCUCCCGGAUGUUUGAAUUGUAUUUCACCUUGUCCGCCUGAUACAGUUUGCACUAGAAGAGUGAACAGAUUUCGUGCAGAUAAUUUAUACCACGGAGACAGCGGUGGACCCCUCUAUGUUUUUGGGGAGUUUCCGGAAAAUAAACCGAUUUGCUUGUACGGUGUUGCAAGCUAUUGUGGCAAAUGGAUAAUAGACAUUCACGGCUUCCAAUUAGUAAACUGUUAUUAUGGUGGAAGCUAUUUCGCAAGUGUACCAUUUCACUACAAUUGGAUUGCGAGUGCGAUGUUUUCACAUGAUCAUAGAUGAUAUGAUAACUGAAAUUAAAUUUUAGUCAGCCGACAAAUGCUGUUGAUUUUA